AAUGGCAUAUUUCGUCAGACACGGAAGUUGUAAUUCCACUGUUUGGUCACUAUGUUAAAUUGACUUCAAAGCCUGGGGCACUUCCUGGGGGCCUAGU
Molecule: long non-coding RNA, 97 nt
Organism: Etheostoma cragini (Arkansas darter)
Lineage: Eukaryota; Metazoa; Chordata; Actinopteri; Perciformes; Percidae
Exons: 3
Source: RefSeq, a predicted model, not a curated record